UUGUAUGGAACAGUCUAUGGUUGAGUGAGAGAUGACAUGUGAGGGAAGGUUAUGAGGGAAACCAAACCCAAUGAAAGUCGAUCUAACACUAAAUUUAUUAAGAUUAUUUUGAGUAUAUAUAGGCAGAAGUACAGACGUCAUUUGACGUAAUUUGUAGCAAACAAAUAUCAAUUUCAUUAGAAAUCUGCAUAGGAAAAAUAACAAUUUCGUAAUAAAUCAGCUAAAUUAAAGAGGUUACUA
This 240-nucleotide unclassified non-coding RNA is filed under the name Melitaea cinxia (Glanville fritillary). RNAcentral describes it as "misc RNA ENSMCXG00005006605.1". The record is from RNAcentral. Lineage: Eukaryota; Metazoa; Arthropoda; Insecta; Lepidoptera; Nymphalidae.